Molecule: ribosomal RNA, 2586 nt
Filed under: Triticum aestivum (bread wheat)
Lineage: Eukaryota; Viridiplantae; Streptophyta; Magnoliopsida; Poales; Poaceae
Description: partial small subunit ribosomal RNA
Source: RNAcentral
AUGGCGCCGGCGGCCGGUCGCGGCCGAGGACGAGGACGGGCCCGGGGACGCGGCCGCGGCCGUGGGCGCGGACGAGCGGCCAAGACCCCGCCGCCUCCCGCCGCAGAACCCGCGCCGGAGGAGGCUCCCGACGCCGCCGAGCAGGAGCAGGAGCAGGAGCAGGAGCAGGAUCAGGAGCACGAACAGGAGCAGGAGCAGCUCACCCACAACACCCAAGAUGCCGCCGCCUCUGCCUCUGCCUCUGCCUCUGCUUUUGCGGGGCGGGAGACGAUUGAGAUCUCUGACUCGACAGAGGCAUCCCCUCAACACUGCGCCUCCUCGCCAGACAUAUAUAGCUCAACCACAGUCCACCAGCACAUCAAGGAGGAGGAGCCAACCUCAAUCACAGUCGAUGAGCCGAGUGAGGCCGACGUGCCGUCUCCUACCAAUGAUGAUGAGCAGCAGCAGAAAAUGGAGGUGGAGGCUGGAGAGCCUCAUGAUAUGUUGUUGUCCGUAGAGCAAGAAGAAGCGCAAGGAAAUAAUAACCAGGAGGAUGCAGGGCCCGAUGCGAACAAGCAAGCGGUACAGAGCAAAGAAGCAGAGGUGAUAGAGCAGGAGGGUGGAAAAGCCGAUGACGAUGAUGUAGCGGUAAAGACUGCUGCAACUCAUGAUGCACAAAAUAAGCAAGACAGCCAACCUAACCCACUCCACCAGGGACAAAUGCUUGCUGCAACUCAUGAUGAUAAUUCAGAAAAUAAGCACCCACUCCACCAACAACAGAUGGAUGCUCAGCAGGAAGAGGAGGAGGAGGAGGAUCCUCAAGAGGUCAUCUUCGACGACUCUGUCUCCGUGGGUGAAGGGCAGGCCGCAUCUGAGAUCAAGCAAGGAGACGACCUUGCUAAGGCCACGGAGGACGACGACGACGGGCAGGCUGCAGCUGAGAGCAAACAGGAAGAGCACCGUGCUAGGGCGUCGGAGGAGCACGGCCAGGCUGCAGGUGAGGUCAAACAGCAAGAGGACGAGCGCAAGGUUAUGUCAGACAUGGCCAAGAACAGGCAGCGCAAAAAGGAGCUAGAGAUCUUUGUGGGAGGGCUGGACCGUGAAGCCGUCGAGGAGGAUAUUAGGAAGGUGUUUGCGCACGUCGGUCAUGUUGUGGAGGUCCGUCUCCACAAGGAUCUCUCCACCAACAAGAACAAGGGCUUUGCGUUCGUCAGGUUUGCAAACAAACACCAGGUGGCUCGCGCGCUUGCUGAGGUGAAGAAUCCUAUGAUACAUGGCAAACGUUGUGCCAUUGCCGCUAGCGAGGACAACGACACACUCUUCUUGGGCAAUAUUUGCAAUACAUGGACAAAGGAAGCUAUUAAGAAGAGGCUGCUUGACUAUGGAGUUGAAGGAGUUCAAAGCUUAACUCUUGUUCCUGAUACUCAAAACGAAGGCCAGAGCCGUGGUUUUGCAUUUCUCGAGUUUUCUUGCCACGCGGAUGCGAUGCUUGCAUUCAAGAGGCUGCAGCAACCAGAUGCUCUGUUUGGUCAUCCUGAGAGAACUGCAAAAGUUGCUUUUGCAGAGCCAAUAAAAGAAGCAGAUGCAGAAGUUAUGGCUCAGGUCAAAUCAGUUUUUAUUGAUGGACUUCCACCAUACUGGGAUGAAGAGCGUGUUAAAAACCGAUUCAAAGCUUAUGGUUUGAUAGAACGAGUUGUGCUUGCUCGCAAUAUGUCUAGUGCUAAAAGAAACGAUUUUGGAUUUGUCAACUUCUCAACCCAUGAGGAGGCUCUUGCUUGUAUUGAAGCCACCAACAACACCGAGCUGGGUGAUGUUGGAAAAGCAAAGCUAAAAGUAAGGGUUAGACUUUCAAACCCUCUACCUAAAAGUCAGGCUGUGAAAGGUGAAAUGAGUGGCGGGUUUCGAAUUGGACAUCCUGGAUCUGGUUUUAACAGGCCUGGUAGAGGUUUUAAUAGGGGAAGAGCUGCCCCUCGCCGGGAAGGUUUCCAUGGUGAUAGGGGUUUCAAUAAUCACACUCCUGUUCGUGGUGGGAGAUUUAAUUCUGCAUACAGUAACAACAGUUUUGAAGCUUCGCCCUCUGAUUUCCGAGCCAGGCAGGCUCCUCCUGCCUUUCGAGGGGGUUCCUCAGGAAGGCAGCAUGAUUUGUUUGAUAGAGGACAGGGGAGAGGAUAUCAUCAUCCACCUAGAGGGCCAACAUUUGAGCCCGAGGGUGAUUUUGGUAGACCCUUUGGUGAAAACCCAUAUCUCUAUGAAGAUGUUCGGCAUGGUGCUAAGAGGCCAUAUUCUCACAUGGAACCCGGUCCUCCUGGAUACUUUGAGCAUGGUGGUCCUCCUCGUGUGCGCCCUCGCUUUGACCAUUACGAGCAGCCACCAUUUCCUGGAGGGAACCGUUUUGGUCAUUAUGACCAGCCACCAUUUCCUGGAGGUGACCGCCACAGAGACUCUUUUGGGACGAGGGGUGGUUAUUCACGUGAUCAUCACUAUGGCCCUGCUCCUGGUCAUGCCCAUGCCCAUGCCCCUCCCCCUGCCCCAGCUCAAUAUGGUAGGGGUGCAUUCCAACCACACCAUAGAGGCGGGCAUUCUGGAGGCGGUUAUUACCACCACUAG